UGUCAGAGUGGAGCCCAGCGCGUCAGGACCGUUCCUGGCGAGCAGCUUGGUAUCUUCUCCGACACUCUGGGCGUGUGGCUCUGACGGCUUGUUAUUCCGUCUCUAAGAGGUCGCCAGCAACCCGAAGAACAGGGAUGAAAGGGUGCUUUCUCCGCUCCAUGGUUCCAGGACACAGUCUGAAGCUGACUCGGGUUGUUGCUGUUGCCUUUGAGGACAGGAUGCAAUUCUUGUAAGGAAAUAAGAAGCCUGAGGAUACAGAAAGAGUAUUGAUGAAAAGACAAGCUUGAAGAACACCUUUCAUCAUCUUGUAAGAAACGUCUAAUGGUGAUAAACUCCAUUCUUGAAAGACAACUUUUCCAGGUCGUGUUAAAAGUUCAGACUUACUCAGAAUCAUAUAACAGAACUCUCCUUGAACUCUCUGAAGCAAAAGAAGUUUCCUCAUUUUGAUCAAGAGGGCUGUCAUUCUGAAACAGUCCAUGUGGCAAAGAAUUUAUGGCAGCUUAGAGCCAACAACUUGGAAGGAACUGAGGCCUCUCAGUCCAUCAACCCACAAGAAAUGGAAUCCUGCCUGGGUUCUCUUGGAAGAAUUUUCCCCAACUGAAUCUUGAGCUGAGUGUGGUCCUGGGCUGAGAUGUUGAUUGCAGGCUUGCAAGAGACCCUGAAGCUAAGGAACCAGGUGAGCCAUGCUUGGAUUCCUGACCCAUAGAAAACAUGAAACUAAAUGUGUGUUGUUUAAGCCAUAAGAUUUAGAGUAACUUGUUAUGCAGCAAUAGGUAUGUAAUAUAGUAUGUGCUCUUAGUUAAAUAUAAGGGGAAUUAUUAUGACAUGAUUUAUGAAAGCUUCAUGAAGAAAAAGAAUGAGCUGAAUCUAAAAGGGAGAAUAGUAUUAGUUGUUGUCCAGUUAAACUUGGCACAUUUUUAAAAUGGCCAUGAUUAGCUGAAAAUAAUACUUGGAAGAGCUAAAAGAAGACAAGCAUUAAUUGGAAUGAA
This is a long non-coding RNA of Camelus dromedarius (Arabian camel), 989 nucleotides long. RefSeq lists it as uncharacterized. The record is from RefSeq and is a predicted model, not a curated record. Lineage: Eukaryota; Metazoa; Chordata; Mammalia; Artiodactyla; Camelidae. The transcript has 5 exons.